GAUGAACGCUGGCGGCGUGCCUAAUACAUGCAAGUCGAGCGAACAGACGAGGAGCUUGCUCCUUCGACGUUAGCGGCGGACGGGUGAGUAACACGUAGGUAACCUAUCUAUAAGACUGGGAUAACUUCGGGAAACCGGAGCUAAUACCGGAUAAUAUUUCGAACCGCAUGGUUCGAUAGUGAAAGAUGGCUUUGCUAUCACUUAUAGAUGGACCUGCGCCGUAUUAGCUAGUUGGUAAGGUAACGGCUUACCAAGGCAACGAUACGUAGCCGACCUGAGAGGGUGAUCGGCCACACUGGAACUGAGACACGGUCCAGACUCCUACGGGAGGCAGCAGUAGGGAAUCUUCCGCAAUGGGCGAAAGCCUGACGGAGCAACGCCGCGUGAGUGAUGAAGGUCUUCGGAUCGUAAAACUCUGUUAUUAGGGAAGAACAAACGUGUAAGUAACUGUGCACGUCUUGACGGUACCUAAUCAGAAAGCCACGGCUAACUACGUG
RNAcentral lists this ribosomal RNA (497 nucleotides) under uncultured bacterium. RNAcentral describes it as "partial 16S ribosomal RNA". It matches the Rfam family "Bacterial small subunit ribosomal RNA", at positions 28 to 507 of the family's 1533-position model. The record is from RNAcentral.